UCGUGUCACAUGCUUCCUGUAAACUUCCUGGUUCAUAUCUGAUCACAAAAACACUGAAACACCUCUGUACACACGAAAUAUCCGAAUAAUAAACCCGCGAUUACGAUAGUAAAGCUUGGUAUGAGAUUUUCUUGAGAUCUGGGGCGUUUUUAUAAAAAAAAUCGAAAAUGUACAUCUGAAAUGCUAACUUGUGCAGCGAUGUAAAAGGCUAUAAAUAGCAUAUUUUUACAACAGUAAACGACCAAAUUCCACCCCUGAUCGCUAAAGGAAGUUAUUAUAAACAGUCGAUCGGGGUUUAAAGUGAGUUUUGAGUAAAAGUGUACUAAUAAUUUCAUAAAUUGUCUGAUUAAGACUUUUGAUAAAUAAGGGCUAAAUGCAAACAGAGACUGAAGUGAGAUCGCUGCUUUGUGUCUUUGUAAAGCCUGAAAAACCACAAUAAAGGCUGAUAAAGGUGGAAUAAAAACAAUAGAAUAAUGAUAAAAGAAUAA
Molecule: long non-coding RNA, 488 nt
Organism: Carassius carassius (crucian carp)
Lineage: Eukaryota; Metazoa; Chordata; Actinopteri; Cypriniformes; Cyprinidae
Exons: 2
Source: RefSeq, a predicted model, not a curated record